This 273-nucleotide long non-coding RNA is filed under the name Actinidia chinensis (golden kiwifruit). RNAcentral's name for it is "long non-coding RNA (ACHI_LNC002087)". The record is from RNAcentral. Lineage: Eukaryota; Viridiplantae; Streptophyta; Magnoliopsida; Ericales; Actinidiaceae.
AGGACGACGCUAAAUUAUACAAACCAUUGUCAACGCACAAACAGACCGGACUGGCCAUUGCUAAGAGCAUUAAGUUGGCUGGCGACGCAAAAUUAUUGUGCAGGGAGAUUGCUGGUCAUGUCGAAUUUUACAGAUGAUGGGCAUGUCGAAUUUUACAGAUGAUGGGCAUUUACUGGACGGAUGGGCAGCCUGCAGCUUCCUUAUGCGCGUAUGAUCGACUUGCCCAACUUGUAUUCGGUAUUUUGCUACUCGGAUCUUAUUUAUAUCAAUUAU